GAGAUAUAGGUUCUUCUGUGAUAACACAGAAGAUUAAUAGGGAAACCGGUUAGAAUCCGGUGCAAACCCAUUGCUGUAUUCAGUUACGAAUCUCAAAUAUGCCACUGUGAAAUAUUCAUGGGAAGGCUUGAGAAGAGGAUGAUCUGUAAGCCAGAAUACCUGCCUAUAUCUUA
Molecule: non-coding RNA, 173 nt
Filed under: Clostridium amazonitimonense
Lineage: Bacteria; Bacillati; Bacillota; Clostridia; Eubacteriales; Clostridiaceae
Source: RNAcentral